AAACUGCUUUUGUACGAGGGUAAACGCAGAUACGUGUAUCUGUCUGAAAGUAUCGUACGAAUAAGGAUCGGCUAACUCCGUGCCAGCAGCCGCGGUAAUACGGAGGAUUCAAGCGUUAUCCGGAUUUAUUGGGUUUAAAGGGUGCGUAGGCGGUUUGAUAAGUUAGAGGUGAAAUUUCGGGGCUCAACCCUGAACGUGCCUCUAAUACUGUUGAGCUAGAGAGUAGUUGCGGUAGGCGGAAUGUAUGGUGUAGCGGUGAAAUGCUUAGAGAUCAUACAGAACACCGAUUGCGAAGGCAGCUUACCAAACUAUAUCUGACGUUGAGGCACGAAAGCGUGGGGAGCAAACAGGAUUAGAUACCCUGGUAGUCCACGCAGUAAACGAUGAUAACUCGUUGUCGGCGAUACACAGUCGGUGACUAAGCGAAAGCGAUAAGUUAUCCACCUGGGGAGUACGUUCGCAAGAAUGCAACUCAAAGGAAUUGACGGAA
This 490-nucleotide ribosomal RNA is filed under the name uncultured organism. RNAcentral describes it as "bacterial SSU rRNA". It matches the Rfam family "Bacterial small subunit ribosomal RNA", at positions 427 to 918 of the family's 1533-position model. The record is from RNAcentral.